Molecule: long non-coding RNA, 724 nt
Filed under: Mytilus galloprovincialis (Mediterranean mussel)
Lineage: Eukaryota; Metazoa; Mollusca; Bivalvia; Mytilida; Mytilidae
Source: RNAcentral
GGUGUUUAUUUUCAAAUUGGAAUAUGACUGCAUGCUUUGCUUCACUUACAGUCUUUUCUGUUCUUUUCAUAAGGUUCGACAAAUGUAAUAUAUAAUGUAAUAUUGGGGUUGGAAGGUUAGAAAAAAAGGGGGGGGUAGGUUUAUGUUUUAAAGAUAUCAUACAUGUAGAUUCUUGAAAAGAUUAUGUUUGGUCGGAGAGCCUGAUUAUAAAUAAAAUCAUUUUUUUUUCAGAAAUUACAUAUAUAAGAUCGAUAAUUUAUAACUUGGUUUUAGCUUUAGAGCUUAGUUAAGGUACAUUGUAGUCCGCUUGUCAUGUUUUGGGAUUUUUGUCAGAUUUUCGGAAACCUCAGGUUUUAUUCCUUUGAAUGCCUUAAAAAAUGGCAUUGACCCCCAUUUAUCUUUUUAUAAAUCAUUUACAUGUAUAAUGAUAAGCCAUCUGUAAAAGUCUUAUAAAAUUUAAAUUAUUCUUUGAUAGUUUUUGAGAAUGUAAACUUGUCAAUGAUAAAGCUAUGAAAAGUCAAGAGAGAAUAUUUUCCCGCCAAAAUUACAAUGGCUAAUAUCUUGAAAACCAGCACAUUGAUCUGUAUAUUUUUUUACUCUUUUGAUUCCUUUAUUAAUCCCCUAUCGAUAUUCACUUAUAUUUAAAUUGAAAAUUCCAAAAUAAUGUCAUACAAUUGUGAAACUCCAAGUCAAAUGGACAAAUUUAUCUUUCUGCUUUAAAAUG